AGUAUUAAAGGUCCCGCCUGCCCAGUGAAUACUUUAAACGGCCGCGGUAUUCUAACCGUGCAAAGGUAGCGUAAUCAUUUGUCUUCUAAAUAAAGACUAGUAUGAACGGCUAAAUGAGGACAAACCUGUCUCCUACAGCCUAUCAAUGAAACUGAUCUUCCAGUCCAAAAGCUGGAAUAUACCCAUAAGACGAGAAGACCCUGUGGAGCUUAAAACCCAUUACUAAGUAAACAAUAUAGGCAACUAGUAUAAAGUUUUAAGUUGGGGCGACUUCGGAACAAAAUAAAACUUCCGAGCACAGAACCACAAUUUCUAACCAAGGCACACAAGCCAAAGAAAAAAUGACCCAGUCAUACUGACCAACGAACCAAGUUACCCCAGGGAUAACAGCGCCAUCUUCUUCAAGAGUUCAUAUCGACAAGAAGGUUUACGACCUCGAUGUUGGAUCAGGGCACCCCAAUGGUGCAACCGCUAUUAAAGGUUCGUUUGUUCAACGAUUAACAGC
This 505-nucleotide ribosomal RNA is filed under the name Hemiergis decresiensis. Its description in RNAcentral is "partial 16S ribosomal RNA". It matches the Rfam family "Bacterial large subunit ribosomal RNA", at positions 1842 to 2594 of the family's 2925-position model. Lineage: Eukaryota; Metazoa; Chordata; Lepidosauria; Squamata; Scincidae. The record is from RNAcentral.